Molecule: transfer RNA, 78 nt
Filed under: Candidatus Uhrbacteria bacterium RIFCSPHIGHO2_02_FULL_57_19
Lineage: Bacteria; Candidatus Uhriibacteriota
Also listed under: 1 other name
Description: tRNA-Asp
Rfam family: tRNA
About the family: Transfer RNA (tRNA) molecules are approximately 80 nucleotides in length.
Source: RNAcentral
GGGCCGGUGGUGUAGCCCGGUUAACACGUCGCCCUGUCACGGCGAAGAUCGCGGGUUCGAAUCCCGUCCGGCCCGCCA